UACAGAGGGUGCAAGCGUUACUCGGAUUUACUGGGCGUAAAGCGCGCGUAGGCGGCUAAUUAAGUCAAAUGUGAAAUCCCCGAGCUUAACUUGGGAAUUGCAUUCGAUACUGGUUAGCUAGAGUGUGGGAGAGGAUGGUAGAAUUCCAGGUGUAGCGGUGAAAUGCGUAGAGAUCUGGAGGAAUACCGAUGGCGAAGGCAGCCAUCUGGCCUAACACUGACGCUGAGGUGCGAAAGCAUGGGGAGCAAACAGG
Molecule: ribosomal RNA, 253 nt
Filed under: uncultured bacterium
Lineage: Bacteria
Description: partial 16S ribosomal RNA
Rfam family: Bacterial small subunit ribosomal RNA
Source: RNAcentral